Long non-coding RNA from Cervus elaphus (red deer), 708 nucleotides. RefSeq lists it as uncharacterized. The record is from RefSeq and is a predicted model, not a curated record. The transcript has 3 exons. Lineage: Eukaryota; Metazoa; Chordata; Mammalia; Artiodactyla; Cervidae.
CCUUAUUGGUCAUAAAGUGUCACAUGGCCACCCUUGGCUGUAAGGGAGGCUCGGAAAUAAUAAUUUAGCAUUUCAGACUCUGUCGCAGAGGAAGGAAAGGAGAAGAUGGAUUGGGAAUAGUGUUGAGUGAGACGAUUUUUAAUGUCUACCAUAGCCAAAAAGGGAAUUAUUAAUGGUUGUCCAGGCUUCAGGCAAGGAUGGAUCCAGGAGCUCAUAUCAUGUCAUUCGUGUGUCCGUGCUCAGUCGUGUCCGACUCUUUUCGACCCGUUGGACUGUAGCCUGUCAGUUUCCUCUCUCCAUGGGAUUUUCCAGGCAAGAAAACUGGAGUGGGCAUUUCGUCUCCAGGGGAUCUUCCCGACCCAGGGAUUGAACCUACAUCUUCUGUGUCUCUUGCACCAACAGAAAUCCCAGGAUUGCAUCUCACUGGCCCUACUUCAGUCAUGGGACUACUGCUGAACCAGUCACAGCUGAACCAGUCACAGCAGCCAGGGGAUGGAAUAUUAUUAGCUGCACCUGGGUCGUGCCUUCUCCACCCACUUCCUGGAGCUACAGAUGAGGUCAGCCUCAUAAAUCUCCUGGACUGAAAGUGGAGGUAUGCUGGUUCCAAAAGAAAGCCAAGACCCUCUCUGGUUAAGGAAGAGCAGACGCCAGGACUGAUGCCAAAGCUGAAGUUCCAAUACUUUGGCCACAUGAUGUGAAGAGACAGCU